This 236-nucleotide unclassified non-coding RNA is filed under the name fungal sp. RNAcentral's name for it is "partial internal transcribed spacer region". The stretch from base 1 to 46 matches the Rfam family "Eukaryotic small subunit ribosomal RNA", at positions 1786 to 1831 of the family's 1831-position model. Lineage: Eukaryota; Fungi. The record is from RNAcentral.
AAGUCGUAACAAGGUAACCGUAGGUGAACCUGCGGUUGGAUCAUUAUUGAUUUUGUUAAAUAAUAACCAAAAGUUUAACAGUGUUUGGUGUAAAAACCAUUCGCAUACACCUGUGUACUGUGACUGUUUCUGGGUCCUAAUGCUCUCGAGCGACAGGGCCCGACAUAUUAACUAUAUACUAAUGUCUGAAUAAAUUUAAAUAAAAACAACUUUUGACAACGGAUCUCUUGGCUCUC